AUGCAUAAUACUAUUCCUUGUCGGGUUGCCCUGGCGAAUCGCCAUAUCAAAGUGAGCGGGCAGUGCCCAGUCUGUAAGAUUGGAGCGGAAGACAUUAAGCAUCUCCUGUUCAAAUGUAGCCGAGCAAAGCACGUAUGGCAGGCAUUGGGCAUUCAUGAUUUAAUUGAGAGGUCUUGUCUUGUUCAUCGUCCAGGACGGUCUGUUCUAGAGGAAUUGUUGUACUCAAGCCCUGAUCAGUCACUGGUUUUGGGACAAGCCCCAUUGCCAGAGCUUGUUGCGGUGGCCUGUUGGUAUUUAUGGCGGAAGAGGAGGCAAAUUAGCCGUGAUAUUCAGGUGCAGUCCCUAGAAAGAUCUGUGAUGGUAAUCAAAGGUUAUCCUCAAAUUUUUGGUCUGCUGAAGUUCCUCAUGCAAGAUAUGUUAAGGGGAACUACAGGUGCAGUCAUUCGUGAUAAAAAGGGAAGUUCAUCGCCGCGAGUAAUGCACGGUUGGAUAUGGUUCAAGAUGUUCUUUCGGCUGAUGCUCUCGCUCUCAAGCAUGCUAGAAUUUGUUAGAGUCAAGUAUGAGCAUGCGAAAAGGGAAAUGAAUUUUGUAGCUCAUGAACUAGCCCAGUGGGCUAAGUUCCAGGCCACUAGGGUUUGGUUGGAUGAUCCUCCCCCCUCUAUUGUACCUCUCAUGGUGAACAAUGUGAUCCUUGUAGACGAGGAGAAGAAGAUCCGACGGGCCUCACCCCACCAGCCGGCAUCCCCCUCCCACCCGGAGACGUCCAACUCCAUCACCAACCCUCCGAUAACCCCCUUCCAUAAGUACUGCUUAGUACCAGCUCCAAACCCACGCACGAUUGUUGUUCAACUCGGCUCUGUUCGUUUCCUCCGCCGCCCACGCCACGCCACGCGGGCGCCGCACGAGGAGCGCGCGAGCUGCCGCGAGCCCGCGAUCGACCUGUUCUGUUGA
RNAcentral lists this ribosomal RNA (951 nucleotides) under Triticum aestivum (bread wheat). Its description in RNAcentral is "partial small subunit ribosomal RNA". The record is from RNAcentral. Lineage: Eukaryota; Viridiplantae; Streptophyta; Magnoliopsida; Poales; Poaceae.